This 236-nucleotide long non-coding RNA is filed under the name Musa acuminata (dwarf banana). Its description in RNAcentral is "long non-coding RNA (MACU_LNC008821)". Lineage: Eukaryota; Viridiplantae; Streptophyta; Magnoliopsida; Zingiberales; Musaceae. The record is from RNAcentral.
CUCCUUCUUUCUUAUUGAAAAUUUGUAAGAGGUUGAGCUGCUUGUAAAAGGUUGUAAGAGGAGUGUUUACCCUUCCAUUUCAAAAGACUUGCUAGUGGAAGGUGGGAGCCUCAUCGAAGAGGGGCCUCGCAAGUGGAGUAGGUCAUUUGACCGAACCACUCUAAAAAUCGGCGUAAUCUCUGGUUUGCUCUUUAUUAUUGUCAUUUACAUUACUGCAAAUCUUCUUACUGCUUUAG